Molecule: ribosomal RNA, 434 nt
Filed under: uncultured Blautia sp.
Lineage: Bacteria; Bacillati; Bacillota; Clostridia; Lachnospirales; Lachnospiraceae
Description: bacterial SSU rRNA
Rfam family: Bacterial small subunit ribosomal RNA
Source: RNAcentral
ACGGGAGGCAGCAGUGGGGAAUAUUGCACAAUGGGGGAAACCCUGAUGCAGCGACGCCGCGUGAAGGAAGAAGUAUCUCGGUAUGUAAACUUCUAUCAGCAGGGAAGAUAAUGACGGUACCUGACUAAGAAGCCCCGGCUAACUACGUGCCAGCAGCCGCGGUAAUACGUAGGGGGCAAGCGUUAUCCGGAUUUACUGGGUGUAAAGGGAGCGUAGACGGACCAGCAAGUCUGAUGUGAAAGGCAGGGGCUCAACUCCUGGACUGCAUUGGGAACUGUUGGUCUUGAGUGCCGGAGGGGUAAGCGGAAUUCCUAGUGUAGCGGUGAAAUGCGUAGAUAUUAGGAGGAACACCAGUGGCGAAGGCGGCUUACUAGACGGUAACUGACGUUGAGGCUCGAAAGCGUGGGGAGCAAACAGGAUUAGAUACCCUGGUA